GUCCAGCGAUCAGGGAAGAAGAAGCUGAGACUCGUCUCGACGGAACUAAAAUAUCACGGUCACUGCGAUACUGUCAGCGCUCCGUCAUAGCUGUUAUGGAUGCCACCUGCUGGUUCUGCUGAUCUGCUGCUCUUCUCAAAGUCCGGCUGGCCAUGAGCCCAACCAGUUCCCAUCUGCAGUAUGAGCCUCCGAACCAUAGGGGGCGCUGUGCUCAGCUACCUGGGCCCUAGUCUGGCAGCUCAGGCUGGAGGAGCCUGGAGCUCCAUCUCUUUCAGACCCAUACCCUCUUUGCUUCAGACCAUGGUACCUGCUGGUUACACCGCACUACAGGAGGAACGGCUGGCCAUGGUGGACCUCGGCAUGCCUAAGCCUGAUUCCCUCAAGAAUGGGUUCCAACGCGAGCCCCGCCGCCACUCAGACCGCAGCAGCAGAACAUCCAUCAGCCUGUCUGAUGCCGGAGACGGACACUAUGUGGAGACUGAGCCUAUGCUGCCUGAUGGCAGGCUUUCAGGAGAAGAGGCAGAUGAGGAAGAGGAGAGCGAGGAGGAAGGGCAGCAGCAGGCAACUAGAAAUAUGCCCAAAGAGUCGCCCCUUGCCAUGGCAUUGCAGAUACUGGUGCCCUUCCUGCUAGCUGGGUUCGGGACGGUUUCGGCUGGAGUGGUACUGGAUAUAGUACAGCAUUGGGAAGCAUUUAAAAACAUUACGGAGAUCUUCAUCCUGGUUCCGGCUCUUUUGGGUUUGAAAGGAAACUUAGAGAUGACCCUCGCUUCCAGACUUUCCACAGCGGUGAAUGUGGGGAAAAUGGACUCACCCAUAGAAAAGUGGAAUCUUAUUAUUGGAAAUUUGGCGCUGAAACAGGUGCAGGCCACAGUAAUAGGGUUCCUGGCAGCAGUAGCGGCAGUUGUACUGGGUUGGAUUCCUGAGGGAAAGUUCCAGAUCAGUCACGCCGUGUUGCUGUGUUCCAGUAGUGUUGCUACAGCCUUCAUAGCAUCUCUGCUGCAGGGUUUUAUAAUGGUGGGAGUGAUUGUGGGCUCUAAGAAGACAGGCAUCAACCCUGAUAAUGUAGCUACGCCCAUCGCCGCCAGUUUUGGGGACCUCAUCACACUGGCCAUCCUGGCAUGGAUCAGCCAGGGCCUCUACAACUGCCUAGACUCUCACCCAUAUGUGUCGUCUCUGGUGUGUGCCUUCUUCAUGUGUCUGACUCCGCUGUGGAUGGUCAUCUCCUCCAAACACCCCGCCAGCCGUCAGCUGCUCUACUCGGGCUGGGAGCCCGUUAUCACUGCCAUGUUCAUCAGCAGUAUUGGAGGACUCAUCCUUGACAAAACUGUAUCUGAUCCCAACCUGGCUGGGAUUGUGGUUUACACGCCUGUUAUCAAUGGUAUUGGAGGAAACCUGGUGGCCAUCCAGUCCAGUCGGAUAUCUACCUACCUACACUUCCACAGCACCCCUGGAGAGGUUCCUGACGAGGCCAAGGGUUGCUACUACCCCUGCCGUACCUUCUGUGGCACAGGAGCUAAUCAUAGGUCAGCACAGGUACUGCUGUUACUGGUCAUCCCUGGUCAUUUGAUCUUCCUGUACACCAUUGAUCUGAUGGAAAGGGGUCACACCUCACUUACGCCCGUUUUCAUGGUCGUGUAUUUAGCUGCCGCUCUUUUCCAGAAGCAGUGAAUACACACCAUCUCACCACAUCAAACAAACCCAAGACUUGUAAAAUGUUCUGCUGAAGGCCUGAGGCAGUGAAAGCGGAAUCUUGCUGAGCUGUGUUGACCCUUCCCUCAAUCUGCUCAAUAAGGGCCAAAAGUUAAAGAUAGAAGAAAGUCAUACAGGUUGGAAUGACACGAGGUGUGGACACGUCAGGCUGGCAGCGGCUGUUGCUGUGGCGAUGAUGAUGAUGAUGAUGACUCAUGCCUGCUGCGCUGAGUCCAGCUGAGUGCUGCGCUAGUUUGUGUGCCCUCGCGUCUGUCUGUAUUUGCUCAGUAAACACCAAACUGCAUGGCAGCGAGUCCUGCGCCGCGAGACAGUUAAUACCUCUUUUCAGCUGUCGCAUACACAUACUCAUACACACACGCGCGCGCUGCUGAUAAAGCUGUCCUUGUGCGUCUCUCCCCCUCACACUCAGUCCCAGCAGUCCCUGAUUCGACGCGCUGCUCGUCUUGACAGAUCUCUUGUCUGUCUCUUAAAGCGGAGGGCUUGAUUUAGUGCUGCUGCAGUAAAAUUGAUCCCGUGUCAAUGAGAGGAGGAGAAAGAGGCGAAUGCUCUUCUGCUCGCAAACCCUCGUUCACAAGAGACCAAAUCAACUUUUCCAAACUGUAAAAGCUGAAGCAACUUUUCCAUGAUUUUCGCUAACAGCCACACCGCAGGGAUGAACUCCUUCUUUCUCAUAAAAACACGAGUUUACACUUCAUUUUAACAGCCUACUAAAAAGGUCAAGCCACUGUAUGAUGUCUUUCCAGUGUUACAUCAUAGUAUGACUCUAUUAUUGCAUCAUCCCACAAUACAAUCAGUGCCUUUACAUCAUUUUCAUAUUUCAUUUAUGCUCAUACUUAAAAUAAGGGAUUUUAACAAGUGAAACAGACUUAUUGAAAAUAUAUUACUUGAAGAAAUUACAUAAUGUCAUUUUCUGGUGCAAGUAAUCAUGUGACUUCCUUUGACCUCUAGAGGAUAUCUAAUAGAGGUGUAUGUGAACGCCACUGACGAGAGAGAGGGAGAAUGGAGCGGCCGGAGAGAUAGAGAGAGGGGGUGAAUGAGUGCAGUGUCGAAUGCCCUCAGCGCUCAAACAGGAAGUUUCCACUGGCUCUGCCCGACACUGCCAAUGUGUCCUUUCUACAGGCCAGGUACACGCGCAAACACGCAGACAUGAACUCACAGGGUGCUGCAUUGAGAGGUUGCGUAAAAGUUCAAGGGAAAUGCUACCAUGUGUGCUGGCAGUGUGUGAUAGAGAAUUGUGGGAUACCUCUAGAGUGAUGUAAGACUGUUACACUAGUAUUGAAGAACUUACUUUGAAACUGAAGCUUUAAAGUGGUCAUAUGAUGCGAUUUC
This is an RNA transcript of Sinocyclocheilus rhinocerous, 3039 nucleotides long. It is a transcript of the gene named solute carrier family 41 member 2-like, with no coding region annotated. The transcript has 13 exons. NCBI's taxonomy places the organism in Eukaryota, Metazoa, Chordata, Actinopteri, Cypriniformes, Cyprinidae. The record is from RefSeq and is a predicted model, not a curated record.